Molecule: ribosomal RNA, 467 nt
Filed under: uncultured bacterium
Lineage: Bacteria
Description: bacterial SSU rRNA
Rfam family: Bacterial small subunit ribosomal RNA
Source: RNAcentral
GACGAACGCUGGCGGCGUGCUUAACACAUGCAAGUCGAACGAUGAACCGGAGCUUGCUCUGGGGAUUAGUGGCGAACGGGUGAGUAACACGUGGGCAACCUGCCCCAGACACCGGGAUAACCAUUCGAAAGGAUGGCUAAUACCGGAUACGACCACUUCGGGCAUCCGAUGGUGGUGGAAAGGAUUCUGGUCUGGGAUGGGCCCGCGGCCUAUCAGCUUGUUGGUGGGGUAAUGGCCUACCAAGGCGACGACGGGUAGCCGGCCUGAGAGGGCGACCGGCCACACUGGGACUGAGACACGGCCCAGACUCCUACGGGAGGCAGCAGUGGGGAAUAUUGCGCAAUGGGCGAAAGCCUGACGCAGCGACGCCGCGUGAGGGACGAAGGUCUUCGGAUUGUAAACCUCUUUCAGCAGGGAUGAAGCGAAAGUGACAGUACCUGCAGAAGAAGCAACCGGCUAACUACGUG